AUUGAACGCUGGCGGCAGGCCUAACACAUGCAAGUCGAGCGGAUGAAGGGAGCUUGCUCCUGGAUUCAGCGGCGGACGGGUGAGUAAUGCCUAGGAAUCUGCCUGGUAGUGGGGGAUAACGUCCGGAAACGGGCGCUAAUACCGCAUACGUCCUGAGGGAGAAAGUGGGGGAUCUUCGGACCUCACGCUAUCAGAUGAGCCUAGGUCGGAUUAGCUAGUUGGUGGGGUAAAGGCCUACCAAGGCGACGAUCCGUAACUGGUCUGAGAGGAUGAUCAGUCACACUGGAACUGAGACACAGUCCAGACUCCUACGGGAGGCAGCAGUGGGGAAUAUUGGACAAUGGGCGAAAGCCUGAUCCAGCCAUGCCGCGUUUGUGAAGAAGGUCUUCGGAUUGUAAAGCACUUUAAGUUGGGAGGAAGGGCAGUAAGUUAAUACCUUGCUGUUUUGACGUUACCAACAGAAUAAGCACCGGCUAACUUCGUG
Molecule: ribosomal RNA, 484 nt
Filed under: uncultured bacterium
Lineage: Bacteria
Description: partial 16S ribosomal RNA
Rfam family: Bacterial small subunit ribosomal RNA
Source: RNAcentral